Molecule: ribosomal RNA, 497 nt
Filed under: uncultured bacterium
Lineage: Bacteria
Description: partial 16S ribosomal RNA
Rfam family: Bacterial small subunit ribosomal RNA
Source: RNAcentral
GAUGAACGCUGGCGGCGUGCCUAAUACAUGCAAGUCGAGCGAACAGACGCGGAGUUUGCUCCUCUGACGUUUGCGGCGGACGGGUGUGUAACGCGAGUAUCCCGUACCUAUCAGACUGGGAUAACUUCGGGAAUCGGGAGCUAAUACCGGAUAAUAUCUUGCACCGUAUGGUUAAAUAGUGAAAUACGGUUUUGCUGUCACUUAUAGAUGGAUCCGCGCUGCAUUAGCUAGUUGGUAAGGUAACGGCUUACCUCGGCAACGAUGCGUAGCCGACCUGCGAGGGUGAUCGGCCACACGGGAACGUGAACGCGCUCCAUGGUCCUACGAGAGGGAGCAGAAUGGAACCUGCCGCAACGGUGGAAAACCUGGCAGAACAGCGCCACGUCAGUGAUGAAGAUCUUCGGAGCGUAAUGCCCGGUUACGGGGGAAGAACAAAUGUGGAAGGAAAUAUGCACGUCUUGACGGUAACGAAUCAGAAAGCCACGGCUAACUACGUG